CCGCCACCUGUAGCGAUUGUGACAUUGGUCGCUCAUCAACACGAUCGUCAACGCAUCUGGCUGGUACUUUGACAGCCAAUUGUAGAAGUGGUGAAAUGUACACGGAUCGCUUCACUCAUAUUCAGAUUCAGAACGAGGAAUACUUCACUGAAGAUGAUGUGAAAUGGCUAUCAGUUUUGAUCAGUUCAACAUGAUUGUAUUCACCCGUGGACGGAUAUCCACAACCAAUCAUAAACGUAGAGCGCGGUCCAGGAUCGGAAGAAUGCCGACGUGGAAUGCGGUGGCGAGGAAAUUGAAACUACUCGGCGUCGGCACGCCCGGCUUCCCUAAAAUUCGGGUCAGUCUUUAAUACCGAGAGUUGGAAAACCACGGCGAACAAAGACCAAGGUAAUCGUAGAACGGGCCAAGACUGGACCCCGUGCCACAACCCCUUUCUUUCAAGAUUAAUGGUAUUGCCACCCGAUCAGUUAUAUCGUUUUCAUUAACAAAUUCCUGGCGGCCAGCAAAUUCCUUCUUUUUUCUUGUUUUCUUUACGUAGGAGUUGGGGUGAUGGUUUAA
This 558-nucleotide long non-coding RNA is filed under the name Cimex lectularius (bed bug). RNAcentral's name for it is "uncharacterized LOC112126872, transcript variant X4". The record is from RNAcentral. Lineage: Eukaryota; Metazoa; Arthropoda; Insecta; Hemiptera; Cimicidae.